RNAcentral lists this ribosomal RNA (1560 nucleotides) under Triticum aestivum (bread wheat). Its description in RNAcentral is "partial small subunit ribosomal RNA". Lineage: Eukaryota; Viridiplantae; Streptophyta; Magnoliopsida; Poales; Poaceae. The record is from RNAcentral.
AUGUCCACCGAGGCGCUGCUGGCCGCCCAAGGCGGCGGCGGCGGCGGCGGCGGAGGGGAGGUGGCGAGCCGGCGCCUGAGCAUCGACGACGCGCUGGCGGAGCACGCGGGGGAGUUCGGGCGGUGGCAGCUGCGGCACUUCGUGCUGGUGUCGGCGGCGUGGGCGCUGGAGGCGCUGCACACCAUGGUCAUCAUCUUCGCGGACCGGGAGCCGGCCAUGUCAUGCCCCGCGGGGGAGGGCCGGUGCGGCGACCGGUGCGCCGGCGCGGCGGCCGGGUGGGAGUGGGCGCAGGGGAGCGCGUCGUCGACGGUGGCCGAGUGGGGCCUGGUCUGCGGCGAGCGGUACAAGGUCGGCCUCGUCCAGGCCAUCUUCUUCGCCGGGUGCAUGAUCGGCGCCGGCGUGUUCGGGCACCUGUCAGACUCCUUCCUGGGCCGGAAGGGGUCCCUCCAGGUGGUCUGCUUCCUCAACGCGCUCUUCGGCCUGCUCACCGCGCUCGCCCCCAGCUACAGGGUCUACGUCGUCCUCCGCCUCCUCACGGGCUUCAGCACCGGCAGCAUCGGCCUCUGCGCCUUCGUCCUCGCCACGGAGCCCAUCGGGCCAUCCCGCCGUGGCACCGCCGGCAUGUCCAGCUUCUACUUCUUCUCCGGCGGCAUCGCGGCCCUAGCCGGCGUCGCCGCGAUGUUCCAGUCCUCCUGGCGCCUCCUCUACGUCGUCACCUCCCUCCCCUCCCUCGUCUUCGUGCUCGCCGUCAUGCCGUUCAUCUCCGAGUCGCCGCGCUGGUACCUCGUGCGACGGCGCACUGACGAUGCCAUGCGCGUCUUGCGCGACAUUGCGGCCACCAACGGCCGGCGCAUCCCGGACGGCGUCACGCUUAAGCUCGAUGAUGAGGGAGAUGAUGCUAACGGCGGCAAGCAGAUCGAGGAGUCGUCACCGUCGUCGUCGUCGGGAUCGAUCCUGGACGUGUUCCGGUCGAGGACGACGCGGGCGAGGCUAGUGCUGUCCGUGCUCAUCAACCUUCUCUGCUCGGUGGUGUACUACGGGCUGAGCCUCAACGUGGUCAACCUCAAGACCAACCUUUACGUCAGCGUCGCCGUGAACUCGAUCGCCGAGAUGCCCGCCUACCUGCUCACCGCGCUGCUCCUCGACCACUUCGGCAGGAAGCCACUCGGCAUCGGUACCAUGCUUCUCAGCGGCGUCUUCUGCAUCGCCGGCAGCCUCAUCGCUGGCGUCGGCGCCAUGAGGAUAGUGAGGAUGGUAUGCGGUGUGGUGGGCAUCUUUGGCAUGGCGGCGACGUACAACUUGUUGUUCAUAUACACGGCGGAGCUGUUCCCGACGGUAGUGCGGAAUGCGGCACUAGGUUGCACGUCACAGGCAUCACAGAUGGGUGCCAUACUGGCGCCCAUGGUGGUUGUGCUCGGGGAACGGGUGCCAUUCGCAGUGUUCGGCGUGUCGGGGAUCAUCGGCGGGCUGUUGGUGUUCUACCUCCCGGAGACGAUGAACAAGCCCUUGUAUGACACCAUGGCCGGCCUGGAGGAAGGAGAGAAGACCCCCUUGAAAUAA